Molecule: long non-coding RNA, 945 nt
Filed under: Sorghum bicolor (sorghum)
Lineage: Eukaryota; Viridiplantae; Streptophyta; Magnoliopsida; Poales; Poaceae
Description: long non-coding RNA (SBIC_LNC010620)
Source: RNAcentral
GAGAAACAAGUCAAUAAGUCAAAUCAAGAUGUGCAUGUGUGGCGAAUGAAUGGUGUAUGGUGAUGAUGGUGAUAACAAUGGUGGAAGUCUACUUCUACUUUUGCUCUUUUGAGGGGAUACAUACCUUUCUUGCUUUUUGAAACUUUAUGAGGAGAAUGAGAUGCUCUAUCUUUCAUUUUUUUUCUUUCCUCUCAGGUGGGUAUCCUGUACCCCUAAUUCUACUGUCGGACACUUGUCCAUUUUUACCUCUGGUCUCACUCUUUUUCUUUUCUUUCGAGGUUCCGGGCACUUGCCCCUUUUUAUUUCCUCGUAUAUUUUUUUCUCUCCUUUUAUUAGAGCAAUCAUCUCAUGAGAUAAUAUAGCAAGUGGUAGUAACAAGUUAACUUGAGCAUUUAUUUCACAAGGAAAAAACAGAAAUAUUUUUGGUUAUUCUUUCCCGGAUUAGGAGUAGAAUAUUUUUUGGUGGUUCUGGAGAUGGAAAUGAGUGGAUAUAUGUGGAUGGUACUUCCAGAGUAGAAGUAGCAUAUAUGAGUGAAUGUGCAAGUGAAAUCUUGAUUUAACCACAUGACAAGCUCCUAAGGGUCUACACAGCUUUACCACACUCAAUGCUCAUAAGCAGUAAAUAAUAAAUGUGUGGCUCAAAGUCUAGCAAGCAUGUAUAUAUGGCUGUGGUAGGAAUUUAAACUUUCAUCAUACAGGAACUCAUCAUGCAAUAUUUUAAAGAUUUUUCAAAGAUAAAAUUCUCUAGAAUUCUAGCAUCUCUAGGAACAGAUAAACAGCAGCUCAACCUUCUCAUAUCAUAUCCGUUAACAACUUAGAUUUCAGAUCAAGUUUUCAUCCCACAAGUUUAGAUCUAGAGCAAGCUUUAAAUUAUAACAGUUAUGUCUAAACUUGAGAGAGAACUUCAAAUUUGCAAAUUAGGCAGAGCAACUAUUCAUCAUAUCC